UAGGGAAUCUUCGGCAAUGGACGAAAGUCUGACCGAGCAACGCCGCGUGAGUGAAGAAGGGUUUCGGCUCGUAAAGCUCUGUUGUUAAAGAAGAACACGUAUGAGAGUAACUGUUCAUACGUUGACGGUAUUUAACCAGAAAGUCACGGCUAACUACGUGGCAG
Molecule: ribosomal RNA, 164 nt
Filed under: uncultured bacterium
Lineage: Bacteria
Description: partial 16S rRNA
Rfam family: Bacterial small subunit ribosomal RNA
Source: RNAcentral